CCUUUUCACCGGCCGUGUUAUAUCGACAGAAGCAAAGCUCGGUCAUGCAGUACCGCCGCCGGCCAAAUUCACCCACGUCGCCGCCCCUCGUUGCAAUUCCAUCCACCCAAAGUUCCGAAAGCUCCUCCUAAACGCCCCACGCCGCUCCGUUGCUCAGUUUCCCGUCGUCGAGCUCAAGUUUCGGCCGCAUCUCCUGUUUACCGCCGCUGCUACUGUCCACCGGUGAGCCCUCCGCGCCGCCCUUUCUUUCACUCGUUUGGUCGAGUUUAGAGAGUGCUUGGGUCAUGUGGAUGCCGUAGAGUGCGCCGCCGGUUGUCCUCGUGCCGCCUCCGUGCGCCGCCAUGACCGGCGGUUGACCAAGCCGCGGCGGCCCGUGGAGGGGCCGGCUCGGGCCACCUCCCGGCGAGCUAGCAGUGGGCGCGGGUGCGCCUGGUCUGGGGCGCCGCCACCCCGUCCCUCUCGGCCGCCGGCGAGCCGCCGUUGGCCGGGGCUGCCCCGUCUUCCUCACGCCAGCGCGCCCCCUGUUUUUGCGCCGGGAGGAAGAAGCUGUGCGUCAGGGGGUUGUGAGGAGAAGAAGGAGAGGAAGGAAGGCCAACCGCCGUUUUGGGCCGAGAGAGAGACGCCGGCCCAGCUAAAGCCCGCGCGGCAUAGAAGAAAAGGGAGAAAGAAAAGAGGGGCCGCCGUCCGUCGUGGGCCAAGGGGAGGAGGAAGCAGGCCGGUUGGUGAACUUGGGCCAGGAGUCCAAGUCUCGGUGGGGGAGGCCCAGGUGGAGCGGGAGAGAAGGAGUAGGCCGGUCACCCGUCUUGGGCCAAGGGAAAGAAUUGGCCCAGCUGGCCCGCACGGCAUAAAAGAAAAAGGAGGGGUUUAGCAGGCCAGUAGAGUGUUGCUUGGGCCGUGUUGCCCAGUUGCGGUGGAGGAGGCCCAUUAGUGCGUCGACGUUCGUUGGGCCCAUGACCUUUUGAGGAAGAAAGGGAGGACCGGUGGGCUGACGAUCGGGUUGAAAAGAAAAUAGGCCGUGCGGCCCAGAUAGAAGUAAAGGAGGAAGAAGGUGGGCCGGCCGGAGUUGAGAAAGAGGAGAAGAGGAGGAAGCCGGCCCAAAAAGGAGAUACCACGAGGAAGGGUGCCGGCUGUGGGCCCCACUUGUCAAUGAAGAAAAGAAAAAGAAGAAUAGGGGACCGGAUGGGCCCUAGGUGGAAGUGAUGGUGGGUAGAAGCAAGUUAGAAAAGUUUGGGCCGGGGUUUUUUUUAUUAAAUCUUAGGUUUUCUUUUAUUAGAUAAAUAGAUUAAAUGUUGUUUUCACCAUUUAAUUCACAGGAAAUUCUAGAAGUACCCAAAAUUAGUGAAACCAAUUUUAUUGGGAUUUUUUUUUAUUUUUCUUUAUGCAUUAAAAUUCUUAAACCCUAGGAAAAAUAAUAAAAAUUUAGGUAUUUAUUUAAUGCCUUUUUGUUUAAGGUAUUUAAAUAAAUGCUUAAGCCUUAUUAAAUGUAUAAAACUUGAGUAAUGCUUUAUUAUCCACAAAUUAUUAUUAAUUCAUAGGAAUUAGGUUUUUGAGAUUAGAAAAUUAUUAUAAUACUUUUAAAAAUAAAAGGAGAGAUCUAAGGUAGGUUUAGUAAAGGAAAUAAAAAUGGUGGGCUAAUUUUUUUUUAGGGUUUUUGUGUGUUGGCUUGCAACUUUAUCAUGAUAAAUUGUAUAGUCUUUGUUGGCUUGCAACUUUAUCAUGAAGCAAAGUUGUAUAGUCUUGUAUUCAAAAAGUUUUGCAUCUUUAACUCCUGCAUACUACAUCGUAGACAUCACAACUCCUGAAGUGGGAAUUCAUGGAAUUCAGCCGGAGAUGGACAGCUUUCGCAGUGCCUCUUUCAACAAACAAGUUUUCCGAAGAACUAACCUUGUUGAUCCCAGGCAAGCCCCGGUGCAUUUACACCUAUCUAUUUUGAGAUCAUUAUUUCAUGUGACUAGUUAUAAGUUAUGGGUUUAUUGUAUGCACUAAGUCUAGGAGUUGAAUGAAACCCAUUCUUGUGUAUGACUAUGCCUUGAAUUAAGGACAUCUUUGCCACUUGUUCAAAUCCUAGAAACUACCCAAGUCUAGAAUUGCUUACUUGCUUACAUGUUUGGUUUACCAACCUUAAGGCAAACACUUAAGUCAUACAUGUUGCUUAUGAAAGAUAGUUUGGAACAUGGAACCAGACAGAAGCUAGAGAUGUAGUUCUGUCUACUAGGUUAAUCUGGUUAAGGACCGAUCCGUGUCUUAACCAUUGAUCAAGUGAUAACCUCUGAUCACUUACUGGGUAUGGGACCAGUAAAGCCCAGUAGAUUAGUAAAUUCUAUGAUCAGGAAUACUUCGUACCCGCAUUUGACGUGCUGGAGAUUGGCAGGGGUGUAGCCUGAAACUCACAUGGAGAUCAGGCCAGACGUGGGGUCCCAUGUGGGGGUGCAUCCCUGGGUCCGGGUAGUUGUAUUCCUAAUCAUUGACUUUGCUAAUCGAGAGGUUGUGAGAUACGACCGGAACAGUCGUAUAAUGCUGGUGAUCGGGGUACUCUCCUGCAGGAUGUAAUUAGAUCCGGAUCGCCGCAAUUCUCGGUUAUGAAUGCACUUGAUCGCUGUUAAGCAUCGUAGUAUCAACUCAUGCGAUAUAAAAUCUCCUGUUGUCAAGUAAUGUAUGACUCAACAGCUGUGGUUGCUUUUACUUCUGUUAUCAUCUAGAAUGGUUAGUAAUGAUUUAACUAAAAUAAAAGAUAAAACUAAGGCCUCACUCGUAGUAAGCUUUUUCGGCAAAAAUUGUGUCAACCAAGCACACCCAAAGGCUGACUUGCAUUCCAAAGAAAUACUAUUAUAUUGGUUAGUCGGGUAAGACUUGCUGAGUACUUCGUACUCAGGGGAUCCCUUUUUGUUGUUUUCAGAAGCCCAGCGGGGACUCACCGAAGAGGAAGCCCUGAAGACCUAGGGUAUCUUAUGAGUCUCAUGAUACCCUAGAAUAAAACUUAGAUGUUUAUCUUUCUUCCGGACUGGUUUAUGUUUUAAAUUCUUGAAACCACGCUAACCUGCAUUAUUAAGUUUGUUUCAAACUAUGGUUGUAAUAUAUCGUACCUUUGUUAUUUCUUUAAAAAUGUAAUAUUUGUUGGUAUUAUCCCAUCGCGGAUAUUAUCCUGAGGUAUGGCUAUGAGACACAUCGUGGAUCCUUCGAGGAGUCCUAGGGACACUCGACGGACUACCGGACUUAUGCUGUUUUAGGUGCGUUUUGGAUAAUUGCUGUUCCGACAGCAAUUAGGCGCACUUAAACCAGCUUAAGUUGGGCGGUUCCGCCACAGCUGGUAUCAGAGCCAUAGGUUGGGAUAAUCAACAGAUAUUACUAUUUAAAAAUUGAGACUCUAUUUUAAAAUAAUAAAAAUAAGAGUCACAGGUGGCAGUAGUGUUAACCGGUUGAUUGUUUUGCAGAUGCUAACUGUUUGCUGCGUGUCGCUAGUAUUCGGUAGUCUAUUAUUUAGGGAGAGAUUACGAUGCCACCAAUUUUCCUACGAGUGUGUAUAUGAGUCUGAAAGUACGUAGGAAUCGUUGCAUCAUGUUUGCAUUGCAUGUUUCAAAAUUUUUGGGUUUGGAGAGUGUCGUUAGACCUAAACCCGUUCCGUGUAAUAGAAGCUAGACGUAGUAAGGGGGUCGAUGCAACAGAGAACUGCAAGAAGAGAAGAUCAAAACAGACAGAUGAACACCAAAUCUUUUUGAGUAAGCAAUUAGGACAACUUAGGCUGUCUGGUGUGAGAAGGAUAAGGAAUAAAUUAGAUCCAGUCUGACAAAAAGUAUAAGAUCAGAAAUCAGGACUAGAGUAUUGGAAGUAUUGUAUAAAGAUAUGAAGGAGUUUUCUCAAAUAGAGCACGACGUUGUUACAUUCACUUUAUGAGAUUAAAAGACUUCAAUAUAUACUCUUCAUCAAGAUGCCUGUUCCAGUACUAUUAUUAGAGAGAAAGGAAUGAAGGUUCAAGGAUAAGGGAAAAAGAUACUCCAUAUGAUUUCGAUAUAAGUAAGAAGGCAGUUCUUGCACGGGUCGUAAUAUGGGAAAAAUAUAUGAGAAAAGUGGUUAAAGAAAUUGGAUGAAUAUGAGGCCAAUUGACGGAGGCCCAGGAAUCUAUUGAUCCUAAUACCUUGGGGAUAUAUUGGAAAAUUAUGAAAGCUAAGGUAAAUCGAUUGGAAGUCAAGAAAUCAAAGCAACAAGAUGAAAUCUUUUUCUCUCUGAUUCACAAUACAGGAGAUACAGGCUCAAAUUGCUGGCACAAAAAUUAAGUAACUACCCUGCCUGCAGGAAAACAACAUGUAUUCGCCCGGUAGCAGUGAAAGGAAAGAAGGAUAUUGUGGAUAACGAUAUGAAUAUAAAUGAACUUGCAUCUUAAGAGGCAGAUCUGCAUGUUUACAAGAAUCUGGAUAGUCUUGGUGUGAAAAUGGAAGAAAAUUUAGAGGGAGUCAUAUGGAGUCCGAUCAACUGUUUAGCUAAGGACAAUAUUGAAGGAGUGUUUCUGAGAAACACGUAUCCAAGGUUUGCAAAAUGCCGGGAAUAAUGAUAUUAAAGGAACCAGAGGAAGUUUAAUAAGUUCCGAUCUGAUGGAUUUUUGUGACCCCAAAAUGUCGGACCCAAGUGGAUACAUUUUAAUCCAGGUCAGAACUCGGGAUGUAGAGCCACCAUAAAUUCUUACCUUGGUUGAUGCUAUUGCUAGUCUUAUGAAUUCAAGAGCUAAGCAGGCUAGACUGCUGAGCAGGGACAUUCAAAGUGCAGGGGAUUAGCGUGGUUAUUAGGAACUGAAGCAGUAUCAAAACCACCAACUUUUGGGAAGACACUAUUCUUAACCUUUCACACAACAAUUGGAUAGAUACUAUCCCAGCUGCUCUAUGUGAUUUACAAGCUCUCAGUCCGCUAAAUUCGUUCCGCGAUCAUCUCAUGGGAAAAGUGCCGAGUAUUUCAAAAAGGUUACAGCUAUUACACUCAAGGGAAUCAAGGUCUUUGCGGCAGAGUAUGUGAGCUACAUAUACCCGCAUGCGAUGUUGUUUCUUUGUAUACAGCAAGAUUAAAAGUUGGGUUAAAAUAUGUAUCCCCAUUGUUGGUCUCGUGGCACUAUUCAUAUUAUCAUGAUGCCUUAUACUUCAAAAGAGAAAGUCCUUCAUAAUGCAAUCACCGUUGGUUUCUUCAAGUAAGAACUUCUGUAAAGUUUUCUACAAGGAUUGAGUUCAGGUUACUGAGGAAUUCACAGAGUCUUUAAUUAGGAAAGGAAGCCAUGAUUUAGUUUACGGAGGAAAGCUAAUCCAGAUAAAUCGGGUUGUUGGGUGUGAAGAUUUCUGACGCAAACAUAUAAGGCACCAAUGGGAGUUUUAUGUCAGAAUGUAAAACUCUGAGGAGAUGUGUAUAGUUUUAGAGUAUUGUUGGCAGAGACACUAACAGGGAGAAAGCUAGCAAAUCUUGUGUUCUGCGAUGGAGUGAGCAUUAUUAACCAUUAUCGAGAAGAAUCUUCCAAACCAGAUACUUCAUAUCCUUGAUGUUCAAAAGAAUGUCAGGAAUUUUCUGAAGCAGAUUUGGAAGAAGAUAACGCAGUCUACUCUUGCUUGUUAAAGCUACUAAGAGUGGCAUUUGCCUGCACAUGUCAGCCUCUAAUCACUAUAUGGACAUGAGACGAAUUGUUGUAGAAUUACACGUAAAUCCAAACAUUAUAUAUGGAUACAUGUGUGAUUCUUUGAUAUACGAAAACUCAAAAGAUUGAGUUUGCAGGACAUUGACUCUAAGGUUCCGCAGGCACAUGAUAGACCAGCUAUCUGAUUAGGCAAUCUGUCAGAAAGAAGAUAGCUUGGGAAGAUUUCAAGACAAUUAUUUGUACCCAGUUUCGUGUUAAAAAGGAUUAUAAGAGUGCAGCUGGAACAACUUCUAAAAGGUUUAGCAGAGACACAAAAGUGUUCAGGAGUAUCUAAGUGCAUUCAACCAUCUGGCACAAUAUGCUCCCAAACAUAUGAAUACUAAGUCUGAGAAAAGGAAUUGCUCCCAAAUACUUUUACAGGUUAUAACUUUGCUAUAAACAUCGUAAUCCCCGAGAAGAUGAAACCUAUGAACAAGCCCCUUGGAAGGGAGGAGCCCUUGGAAUGAGUGGACAUUUCUUUCGAGGCAUCGGAAAGUAUUCCUCAGGAGCUGAAGGUUGUCUACUAAGAACCUGCUAAAUCUACUUAUAGGCCCCAACUACAAUUGUCAUAUCAGUCAGGGGUUAUCUAGAACCCAAAUAAAUACUCUGUGUUCGACGAACCCAUAAGUACCUGGAAGGUUAAAAGCACCACUAUCUUUGCAAAUCUGCAACUGUAUUAUAACAUAACUAUGGAAGGACUGGUUUCGCCAGAAAUCUCCAUUUUCCAAAGAAAGGGGAAAAUAUGAAUGAGAAAGCUCAGAUUUCAUGCCAAAGAUUGGGUCAACAAGUCUAUCCGAAAGAAAUUCCUUAAUUAGAAGGAAGGGACGUGAGCAUUAUACGGAUAUUCACGAGUUUCUAAAAGGUUGAAUUUGCAUGGGAUUCUGAGAAUAGUAAAAUGUGUCAAGCUUUGAAGCAAAGGUUUUGACGAACAAGAAUAAAGGAGAAUAUGCGGAGCAAUUGCGCAUUGAUUUGGAUAGCUUCUGAAGCAUUGACCCUAUGCCAAGUUUAGUGAGUAUGAGUUUUGGCUAAAGAAGGUUCUGUUCAUUAGGCAUGUUUUGUCCGAGUAAAGAAUUGAAGUGGAUCCUGGAAAAGUCAAGGACAUAAGCCACCAAUAACUGUUCAGGAAGUAAGAAGUUUUCUUAAAAUGGCCGGACGCUAUCAAAGUCCGAUCUGAAUAAGAGGCAUGAGAUGACUGAAACUAAUCCAAGACUAUAAACUAGAGAUUGUGUCAUCUGAACAAAACUACAGUACCCUGCAUAACCUUAUCUUAUAAGAUACCUUGAGGAAAAAGAUAGAACAAACUCAGAAGAAGGACAAAGGAAUGAGAAUACUUCGGAAAUAAGUAAGCUAAAGUGAUAUUAUUUACUUUACCAGGAUGAAGAGCUGAAUAAUAGUACUUAAGAAGAUGGGCUUGAGAAAGGAGAUCUUAGAUGAAACUUGCACCCGAGCAGUAUUAAAAUGCAUUAAUACAGGAAGCAAUGAUUUUGGUGGACAAGAAUGAAAAGGGAAAUAGCCAAGUAUGUAUCUGAAUAUGAUACGUGUCAAAAGGUAAAAGCUAUAUAUCAGAAAUCGGUCAACUUAUUGCAACCCUUAACCAUUUCUGAAUGGAAGUAGGAAGAUAUUUCCCUGGAUUUUACGGUAGGAUUUCCUACUACCUCAAGGGGGUAUGAUUUCAUAUGAGUUAUCCUAGCUUGACUCACUAAGUCGGCUCAUUUCAUUCCUGUCAAGAUCGUUUACCGUAUGCCAGCCUAUAUGGAACUUUAUAUAUCUCGGAUAAUAUCAUUACAUGGAGUACCCGAGACAAGUAUCUUUAAUUGAGGUUCUCAAUUCGUCUUUGGAUUCUAGGAAUAAAUGCAUGAGACAAUGGAAACUACCCUUGUCAAGAGCAAAGGAUGCUUGGUUAGACAGAAAAAAGAUAUGCUUCGUGCCUGUGCUCUUACCUUCUCGAAGAAAUGGGAUGAAUGGUUGCCUCUAGCAGAAAUGGAAAGAAUGUUUGCUUUUAAUUCAGUCAAAAUCAAGAGAAAGAGUACCUUUGGAACUAGAUCUAAUCAAUUAAAGUUGAGGAAAAAGUUCAGAAGAAUUGUACGAACCUUGAAAUAACUUAGUCAUGACAGAAAAGUUAUUCGGAUAAAAGAAGAGGAUCCUUGGAAUUUUAUUUUGAGACUUUGUACAUUUCGGAGUAUCCCCGAUGAAAGGAGUACACCGAAUUGAAGUCAAAGGAAAAAUUAGUUCCGAGAUAUACUGGUCCGUAAGAAAAUUUUGGAUCGGAAGACCAACAAUACUCAAACUAAGAGUAUCAAAUUUUACAAGGUGCCCUGAGAGAAUCGUGCUCCAGAUAAAGCUACUUGGAACAGACUAAAGACCUAGAGUCUAAAUAUCCAGAAUUAAUUGGGACCGUCAGGAACAGAUGAAUAAAGAGCCACCACCCGCACUAUCCUUGUACAGAAAAAGAAGAAAUAGUUAACCUGAGGCAGUUUCCUUUCCAUUCUCAAAACUGAGAAUUUAACCCCGGGAAUCUCGGGACGAGAUUCUGUUAAGGGGGAGGGGCUGUAACAGCUGCCGUUUUUAUCAUUUAAGUGACUCAGAUGAAUUGGAAGCAAUUCAAGAAGAAAGGAGAAAGAGAUUGACCGAAAAUCAAAUUCGGGUCAAAUUUGGCCGAAAUUUGAAUUUUGAAUUUGAAAUUCAGAAAAAUUCGGCAAAAAUAUGGAAUAGCAGUGUAAAGAUGAUCUGAACUUAAGGGUCAACAAUUUGGAAUAAUAUUUGAUCCUAAACACUCAGAAUAAAUCAAGAGAAGGAAAUGAAAAACUACGUUUACUAUUCACCGUACGAAAACAGGAAAUCAGAAAAACAGCUUCAGAGUACAUUUUGGAAAUUGAAUUCUGAUGAAUUUCUCAAAUAAGUAAAUAAGGACAACUAUACCAUGUUGAAGUAUGAACCUUGGACUCCUAAAUCUGGGUGUUGUUGAUCAAGAAUAGCAGAGGGAACUAUUUCAAAUAGAAGCCUAAAGUUAGCACUUUGGCACAAUCGGCAGCUUUGCUGGAAUUUCGUUAAGUCUGGAAAUGGUAUUGCGUACAUGAAUCUAGAACCAAUUUCUGGGGAAUUUUUCUUAAAAGUGAGCAGAUGUUUUUGGACAUUAGUGUAAUAUGGACUAUGGAGAAGGUAAAUGAAUAGUUGUUGUCCAGAGAAAGUGGAAGGUUUGAAUUCAAAUUGGAACCAAAAGUCAGCAAUUGAGCAGAUUUCGAGCUCCUUGCCGAAUUAAGUCUAAGUCUGGAAAACAUGACGAGUAUCUAUGUUUGAAACCGAAUUAUGCCCAAUUUUUCAAGUAAGUGAGCAAAGGCAACUAGACAGCGGUGAAGUAUGAUCCUUGGACAUGUUUAAUAAGGUGUUGUUGCUCAGAGAUAGCGAAAGAAUCAAAUUUAAAUCAGAACUCAAAGUCAGCACUUUAGCUAUUUCGGCCAACUCUCGAGCUGCGUAAAUUCUAAGUCUGAAACAGUGUUAACUAGCAAUGUUUGGAGCAAUUUGCAGGAAAAUCCAGUGCAAAGGCUAUAUGGUUUCUGGUGCAAAAUGGAAUCCUUAUUAGUUGUAGAACACAAAUAGGGAGUGGUUGGCCUAUAUGGAAUACAAUUGGGCUACUGAAAUUGGUGCUAAAGAAGGGUAAACGACCACAUUUGAAGACUGUCGAACUGAAUCGCUAAAAUUCAGUAACAGUAAAGCUGACAGAAACUUGGAGCUCCGAAAUCUCGACCUUAGGAUGCUCAUCUCGGGUAAAGGCCCAUCUAUCAAUUGUAGUGCUCGGAUUACUCUACAAGAUUGUUUAAGGGAUGUUCAAGAGAUUGGAUUCGGAUCUGCCGAUUUUUGAGGCUUGAACCUGUAAAUUGGGAGGGGAUAAAGAGGAGAAGGCAGCAGAAACAGAGCAGCGCGGCAGUGCCGUGCCGCCGCCGGCUCUCGCGCAUGUCGGCCAGCGCGACGGCCACCGCUGCGCCACGUCGCCACCACGAGCCAAGCUGAACGUGGCACGGUGAAAGACCACGACAUUGUUUUCCCGCGCUUAUCCUUUUCACCGGCCGUGUUAUAUCGACAGAAGCAAAGCUCGGUCAUGCAGUACCGCCGCCGGCCAAAUUCACCCACGUCGCCGCCCCUCGUUGCAAUUCCAUCCACCCAAAGUUCCGAAAGCUCCUCCUAAACGCCCCACGCCGCUCCGUUGCUCAGUUUCCCGUCGUCGAGCUCAAGUUUCGGCCGCAUCUCCUGUUUACCGCCGCUGCUACUGUCCACCGGUGAGCCCUCCGCGCCGCCCUUUCUUUCACUCGUUUGGUCGAGUUUAGAGAGUGCUUGGGUCAUGUGGAUGCCGUAGAGUGCGCCGCCGGUUGUCCUCGUGCCGCCUCCGUGCGCCGCCAUGACCGGCGGUUGACCAAGCCGCGGCGGCCCGUGGAGGGGCCGGCUCGGGCCACCUCCCGGCGAGCUAGCAGUGGGCGCGGGUGCGCCUGGUCUGGGGCGCCGCCACCCCGUCCCUCUCGGCCGCCGGCGAGCCGCCGUUGGCCGGGGCUGCCCCGUCUUCCUCACGCCAGCGCGCCCCCUGUUUUUGCGCCGGGAGGAAGAAGCUGUGCGUCAGGGGGUUGUGAGGAGAAGAAGGAGAGGAAGGAAGGCCAACCGCCGUUUUGGGCCGAGAGAGAGACGCCGGCCCAGCUAAAGCCCGCGCGGCAUAGAAGAAAAGGGAGAAAGAAAAGAGGGGCCGCCGUCCGUCGUGGGCCAAGGGGAGGAGGAAGCAGGCCGGUUGGUGAACUUGGGCCAGGAGUCCAAGUCUCGGUGGGGGAGGCCCAGGUGGAGCGGGAGAGAAGGAGUAGGCCGGUCACCCGUCUUGGGCCAAGGGAAAGAAUUGGCCCAGCUGGCCCGCACGGCAUAAAAGAAAAAGGAGGGGUUUAGCAGGCCAGUAGAGUGUUGCUUGGGCCGUGUUGCCCAGUUGCGGUGGAGGAGGCCCAUUAGUGCGUCGACGUUCGUUGGGCCCAUGACCUUUUGAGGAAGAAAGGGAGGACCGGUGGGCUGACGAUCGGGUUGAAAAGAAAAUAGGCCGUGCGGCCCAGAUAGAAGUAAAGGAGGAAGAAGGUGGGCCGGCCGGAGUUGAGAAAGAGGAGAAGAGGAGGAAGCCGGCCCAAAAAGGAGAUACCACGAGGAAGGGUGCCGGCUGUGGGCCCCACUUGUCAAUGAAGAAAAGAAAAAGAAGAAUAGGGGACCGGAUGGGCCCUAGGUGGAAGUGAUGGUGGGUAGAAGCAAGUUAGAAAAGUUUGGGCCGGGGUUUUUUUUAUUAAAUCUUAGGUUUUCUUUUAUUAGAUAAAUAGAUUAAAUGUUGUUUUCACCAUUUAAUUCACAGGAAAUUCUAGAAGUACCCAAAAUUAGUGAAACCAAUUUUAUUGGGAUUUUUUUUUAUUUUUCUUUAUGCAUUAAAAUUCUUAAACCCUAGGAAAAAUAAUAAAAAUUUAGGUAUUUAUUUAAUGCCUUUUUGUUUAAGGUAUUUAAAUAAAUGCUUAAGCCUUAUUAAAUGUAUAAAACUUGAGUAAUGCUUUAUUAUCCACAAAUUAUUAUUAAUUCAUAGGAAUUAGGUUUUUGAGAUUAGAAAAUUAUUAUAAUACUUUUAAAAAUAAAAGGAGAGAUCUAAGGUAGGUUUAGUAAAGGAAAUAAAAAUGGUGGGCUAAUUUUUUUUUAGGGUUUUUGUGUGUUGGCUUGCAACUUUAUCAUGAUAAAUUGUAUAGUCUUUGUUGGCUUGCAACUUUAUCAUGAAGCAAAGUUGUAUAGUCUUGUAUUCAAAAAGUUUUGCAUCUUUAACUCCUGCAUACUACAUCGUAGACAUCACAACUCCUGAAGUGGGAAUUCAUGGAAUUCAGCCGGAGAUGGACAGCUUUCGCAGUGCCUCUUUCAACAAACAAGUUUUCCGAAGAACUAACCUUGUUGAUCCCAGGCAAGCCCCGGUGCAUUUACACCUAUCUAUUUUGAGAUCAUUAUUUCAUGUGACUAGUUAUAAGUUAUGGGUUUAUUGUAUGCACUAAGUCUAGGAGUUGAAUGAAACCCAUUCUUGUGUAUGACUAUGCCUUGAAUUAAGGACAUCUUUGCCACUUGUUCAAAUCCUAGAAACUACCCAAGUCUAGAAUUGCUUACUUGCUUACAUGUUUGGUUUACCAACCUUAAGGCAAACACUUAAGUCAUACAUGUUGCUUAUGAAAGAUAGUUUGGAACAUGGAACCAGACAGAAGCUAGAGAUGUAGUUCUGUCUACUAGGUUAAUCUGGUUAAGGACCGAUCCGUGUCUUAACCAUUGAUCAAGUGAUAACCUCUGAUCACUUACUGGGUAUGGGACCAGUAAAGCCCAGUAGAUUAGUAAAUUCUAUGAUCAGGAAUACUUCGUACCCGCAUUUGACGUGCUGGAGAUUGGCAGGGGUGUAGCCUGAAACUCACAUGGAGAUCAGGCCAGACGUGGGGUCCCAUGUGGGGGUGCAUCCCUGGGUCCGGGUAGUUGUAUUCCUAAUCAUUGACUUUGCUAAUCGAGAGGUUGUGAGAUACGACCGGAACAGUCGUAUAAUGCUGGUGAUCGGGGUACUCUCCUGCAGGAUGUAAUUAGAUCUGGAUCGCCGCAAUUCUCGGUUAUGAAUGCACUUGAUCGUUGUUAAGCAUCGUAGUAUCAACUCAUGCGAUAUAAAAUCUCCUGUUGUCAAGUAAUGUAUGACUCAACAGCUGUGGUUGCUUUUACUUCUGUUAUCAUCUAGAAUGGUUAGGUAAUGAUUUAACUAAAAUAAAAGAUAAAACUAAGGCCUCACUCGUAGUAAGCUUUUUCGGCAAAAAUUGUGUCAACCAAGCACACCCAAAGGCUGACUUGCAUUCCAAAGAAAUACUAUUAUAUUGGUUAGUCGGGUAAGACUUGCUGAGUACUUCGUACUCAGGGGAUCCCUUGUUGUUGUUUUCAGAAGCCCAGCGGGGACUCACCGAAGAGGAAGCCCUGAAGACCUAGGGUAUCUUAUGAGUCUCAUGAUACCCUAGAAUAAAACUUAGAUGUUUAUCUUUCUUCCGGACCGGUUUAUGUUUUAAAUUCUUGAAACCACGCUAACCUGCAUUAUUAAGUUUGUUUCAAACUAUGGUUGUAAUAUAUCGUACCUUUGUUAUUUCUUUAAAAAUGUAAUAUUUGUUGGUAUUAUCCCAUCGCGGAUAUUAUCCUGAGGUAUGGCUAUGAGACACAUCGUGGAUCCUUCGAGGAGUCCUAGGGACACUCGACGGACUACCGGACUUAUGCUGUUUUAGGUG
This 12927-nucleotide long non-coding RNA is filed under the name Setaria italica (foxtail millet). RNAcentral describes it as "long non-coding RNA (SITA_LNC004923)". The record is from RNAcentral. Lineage: Eukaryota; Viridiplantae; Streptophyta; Magnoliopsida; Poales; Poaceae.